Long non-coding RNA from Quercus robur (English oak), 187 nucleotides. RefSeq lists it as uncharacterized. The record is from RefSeq and is a predicted model, not a curated record. The transcript is spliced from 2 exons. NCBI's taxonomy places the organism in Eukaryota, Viridiplantae, Streptophyta, Magnoliopsida, Fagales, Fagaceae.
AGGAUUGUAUUAGUGGAAAUUCAAUUUCAUUCCAGCCAAGCUAAAUAAGGUUUUUGUAAUGUUAGCUAAUUAUGCAGGGUUUUGAGACUGUCAGUUACAGGUAUACUUUGUCUCAAAGCUAUUCAAUUACUUGAUUACUAUUAGGUUUAAUUGUAAAGAAAUUGAAGUUGAGUUUUUUGGAUUUUAA